RNAcentral lists this long non-coding RNA (1778 nucleotides) under Lathyrus oleraceus (garden pea). RNAcentral describes it as "Pisum sativum (pea) long non-coding RNA (PSAT_LNC041235)". Lineage: Eukaryota; Viridiplantae; Streptophyta; Magnoliopsida; Fabales; Fabaceae. The record is from RNAcentral.
UCACUUCUCCUUCAUCCUUGGAACACUCUUACAGUAACAACAACAUAUUUUCUUCAUUUUCUUUUUAUAAAACAACCAUCUUUGCUCUUUUCUUUCUUGAAAAACAAAACAAAAUUUAUAUCUAUUUCAAGCCCCACUCAUCAUGGUGAAUAAAAAACAGCAUGAAGAUUCAACAAAAACAAAACUUGAUUGCUUCUAAGACCUCUCUCUCUCACACUUGGUUUUAAUGGGAACAACAUGAUUUUUAAAAAAAAAUUCAAAGUAACAAACUCUCAUAUCAAAGCAAAAGCAAAAGUUUAUGAAAGCAAAACAAUGAAAAGGAAGAGAACGACUACCAAGUCAAAGCUCGUUUUCGCAAGUGGAGACGGAAUGGCAAGUUUUUCGGCGAUGUCGUAAAAUGGCGAUGACGUGUUUGAACCGUCGGUUUCACUAUAUUUCGUGGUGAUGGAGUUGUGUGUUUAAACUGUGGAUGAUGGUGAUAAUGGAACUGUUUGGUUUAUGAAGCUUGAAGAUUUUGAGUGAUGGUGUUGUUGUUGUUUUAUGAAGCUUGAAGUUUUUAGAGUGAUGAUGUUUUUGUUUAUGAAGUUUCUUUUUUUAGUUUUUUUUGAGUGAUAAGGUGUGGUGAGGGAAGAGAAGAUAUGAUGAUAGUUAUAUGGCGUUAAAGGGUGAAGAGAAAGAAAAGAGGUUUAAGUUUUUAUAUAUUUUUUAAUUUUUUUGGAGUGAGAGUUGUGAGAGAUGUGAGAGAUGUGAGGUGUGAGUGAAAGAGAUGAUGAUGAACAUUGGUGUAGCAGAAGAAAUUGAUGUGAAGGAGGAAGAAAAGAAAAAGUGCACGUGAGGGAAAAGGAGAAAGAUGGGGAAAGGUUAUGAAUAGUAGAGAAAGAGUGAGUUUUUUGAGGAAAGAAAUUUAAUAUAUUUUAUGUUAGAUAUUUUUUUGUGUGUAAGUGUGGAUGUGAAGAAAAGAGGAAAGAGAGAAAGGAAGAAAAAAGAAUAGUGAGAGUGAGAGGAAAAAGAAGAAACGUGGAGAGAGAAAAGAAGGAAAGAGAGGAGAGAGAAAAAGAAGUAUACGCGGAGAGAGAAAAGGAGAAAAGAGAGGAGAGAGAAAAAGAAGUAUACACGGAGAGAGAAAAGAAGGAAAGAGAGGAGAGAGAAAAAAUAAAAGAAAAAAAAGGAAAAGAAGUUAUGAGAGAAAAAAAAAAGAAAAAAAAGAAAAAAAAGAAAAAAAGGAAAAAUGAAAAUAAUACCAAGUAGCACUCCACCAAUGGCUAAAGGAGUUUUUUUUUUUAAUUUUUUAAAAAAUGACUUUAAAAUAAAAAUAAAUGAUUUACUGGGUCGCUGGUAAAAAAAUUAAAUAAUUUUGUUCUUACUAUUUAAAUAAUAAAUAAUCAAAUAAAUACAAAUAUGAAUAAAAUAAAAUUGACAAAAUAGAUAAUUCUAAAUAAUUCCUCAUAUUAUUUUGGCGAAAGAUAAAGAAUAAUCGGAUAAAAAAGGAAUAAAAAUUGGGCAUAAAAAAAAUAAAAAAAAUAAAAAAUAAAAAAUAAAAAAUAAAAAAUAAAAAAUAAUAAAAAAUAAUAAAAAAUAAAGUGACAGCAUAAAAAUGAUCAGCGCAAAAUAAACUUCUCGGAAACAUACAGGUUUUGAUCAAAAUUUAAAGUAAAAAUUGAUCGAUUAAAAGGCUCAGGCGGGCAUAAAAAAUGCGACUGAAAGGUAGUCGAAUAAAAUAAAAUGAGCAUGCCAGGUUGAACUACGCGACCCAUAGAUCAAUAAAACUGACGUCUGAA